Molecule: long non-coding RNA, 1247 nt
Organism: Capsicum annuum
Lineage: Eukaryota; Viridiplantae; Streptophyta; Magnoliopsida; Solanales; Solanaceae
Exons: 2
Source: RefSeq, a predicted model, not a curated record
UUACAAUGCAGUUGGCCAAUUAAUUUUUAAUAUAACAGAAAAUUUAAAUGAGAUUGACUAAAUUUGGGGUUAUAUUUUAAAUAACCCCAAAUCCGAAUUCUAUCCAACAACCCAACCCCUUCUAAUUCUGUAUACACCAUCCCAAAACUAAAAACGAAAAAAAUAACCAAACCCACCUUUGCUCUUUCUUCUACAUUACAGCUCUAAACAAUGGCAAAAAAACUCAAUCUAGCGUACAAUACACAUAAACAACAUGUACACCAGUCAGCAAUAGUAUCAACACCAACAACAAUCACAUGUCAGCCAAUGGCAACCCGACACCAACUCCAGUCGUGUAAAAACUCAUCAAACCAGUCAACCGAUGUCAAUCUGACCUGAUAUCAACCCUAAUGGUUAACAAUUGCAAACCAACCCCAUACCCGUGCAGCAACCCGUUAGAUUCCAACAAACAGACGCAACAACAACGAUUCCAAUCCGUACUAAAUAGUACGAUUUUCAGCUCAACAAAUCCUAUCCCCAAGUUCAAAUUCAAAUGUCCCUAUUCAAAAUCGCAAAACGCCCCUCAAAUAUUCCCAUCCCACAUCGCUCAAAUUGGUGAAAUCCCAUUCUGAAAAUACCUAUAAAUACUCAUUCAAUGCAUUAUUUAAGAGGUUGGAGAUGCCGGAUAGCAGGGACCUAAAAAGCGUGAGAUUUUGCUAUUCGAAGAAGGGUUUCGGUGCCAAAAAAUUCGAUAAGACUCGUUUGAGCUUGAAUUUCUAGGAUAAGAAUUCAAGUUCAUUCCGAUGGUGGCAAGAAUCUUUCGGUGAAGCUCGCUAAUUUCCCUUAUAUUCCUCGGGCUAAGGAAGCCUAAUUUCCGAGUCAACAUAAAGUAUCAAAAAUGGACAAAAACUCAAGAGAAUCAAGUGUGUAUACAAAGAUAUACAAUAUAUAUACACUAUAUUCAGGUCUUGGAAGCUGAUAUACAGAUACAAGGGAGCAAUAAUCGAGCUAAGGAAGCUGGUAUGUAAAGGCCCAAGCUGAUAUACAGUGUGUAUACAGCCAAAACUUAGAAGAAAAGGCUGUAGUAUACAUCUGAUAUACAUUGCUGGAAAAUGAAUUAAAAGCCCAAGUUCAAAUUUGAACAGCUCUCAAAAAAUGGGCUAGAUAAGAGGCCCAAACUUCUUUUCUUUAUUUAUUUUGUAUAAUUCAUAUUUGACUAUUUGUUGUAUUAAAUUUUUUAAACUUCGUUAACCUUAGUAAACUCCCCA